UACGGAGGGGCUAGCGUUGUUCGGAAUUACUGGGCGUAAAGCGCACGUAGGCGGGUAUCCAAGUUGGGGGUGAAAUCCCGGGGCUCAACCCCGGAACUGCCUCCAAAACUGGGUACCUAGAGUCCGAGAGAGGUGAGUGGAAUUCCCAGUGUAGAGGUGAAAUUCGUAGAUAUUGGGAAGAACACCAGUGGCGAAGGCGGCUCACUGGCUCGGUACUGACGCUGAGGUGCGACAGCGUGGGGAGCAAACAGG
Molecule: ribosomal RNA, 252 nt
Filed under: uncultured bacterium
Lineage: Bacteria
Description: partial 16S ribosomal RNA
Rfam family: Bacterial small subunit ribosomal RNA
Source: RNAcentral